CAAGGGUGAACCUGCUAAACUGAUUAUACUCAACACUUUUCAAUUUGCUAGGCGGUCUUACUCGACAUUAAAAACAUUCACAGAAUCUUUGAACGUCACUCAGGCAGCCAUAUCAAAACAUUCAAAUGCUGUUUGACCACAAUGGAAAUAACUCAAUUUUGCGUGUUUGUGACUGCUGAUGAAUAAUGGAUCCAUUUCAGCAAUCAUAAACUCAAAAAUCAUAGGUGAAACUUGAUCAAUCAGACAAAGCUGAAUUUAUAUGAUAAAUUUAAAUUACUCAAAAUUAAAAUAUUGUUAAAUAAGACUCUUUGAUUCGAGAGAGAGGCGUCAAAACCCCAUCUUUUAUAUUAUGUGCCAAUGAUGCCACCAUUGAAAAAUAUUAGAUUGUGCAAUUCGUUUUAGUGCUGCCCUUCUGGCAUCCCGCCUUUUUCACUAAUACCAAGAAUGAUAGAGAAAGAGGUUAUGAAGUGCGCAUGUUUGCUUUCAGUCAGCUGUUCUUGCUGACGUCAGGGUUAACUUAUUAUUCGCCCGCGCCUUUGAAUGUGAACUCGAAUUGUACUAUCGGUUGAAGUAUUAAUUGAGAAAUUUUAUAUUUUUUAAAAUGCGCUGCGCAGUGUUCGGAUGCAAUAAUAACAAUGUUAAAAAUAGUGCUACGGAGUGGAGAUUUUUCCAUUUCCCUAAGGAUAAAACAGUACUAAAACAAUGGAUUAAUUUUUGUAGUCGGGCGGACAAAAUUAAUGUUAAAAAUGCGUUCAUUUGUGAAGUGCAAUGCACUCCAGGAGCCUCCGAAAGCAGCUUGCAGUUUAUAAUGGGUAAUUAUAUCAUUUUGACUACAAUUAUUUUACUUUUAUAACCAAACAACGAAGGAGAGGUUACAGAUGAAGGAAAUGUUAAAAUCGACAACACCCAGAUUUGGAAGGGAAUUACUUAUAUCUAACCGGUAAUAUUUUUUAACGUGUAUCAGUAGAUCUAAAUUUCACUGGCCCAACUGAAAAAAAAAUUUACUUGAGAAUUUGGCAGGGUACAUUUGCCACAAACUUAGUAAAGACAACCCCGAAAUUUCUGUCAAUUCAGAAAAUUGUUCAUCUUAUACUUGGGUGGAUUCCCUUUCUAAAGGAGAACUCUCAAAACCAACAGAUAUGUUGAUGGAGCAUAUGAGAGCCUUGCAAACAGUAUUUGACGACAUAAAUGGUACUGAUUUGCAUAUAUGUACAAAUUAUGUUCAAAAGCACCUAGAUUUAAGUAAUUUUGUAAACUGUACCACGAAAAAAAAGAACUAUUUUUUAGAGCUAGAAUGUAUUUUAUGA
This is a long non-coding RNA of Bactrocera latifrons, 1307 nucleotides long. RefSeq lists it as uncharacterized. Lineage: Eukaryota; Metazoa; Arthropoda; Insecta; Diptera; Tephritidae. The record is from RefSeq and is a predicted model, not a curated record. The transcript has 3 exons.